This 305-nucleotide ribosomal RNA is filed under the name uncultured bacterium. RNAcentral describes it as "bacterial SSU rRNA". It matches the Rfam family "Bacterial small subunit ribosomal RNA", at positions 334 to 655 of the family's 1533-position model. The record is from RNAcentral.
GACCUACGGGAGGCAGCAGUGGGGAAUAUUGCACAAUGGGGGAAACCCUGAUGCAGCGACGCCGCGUGAGCGAAGAAGUAUCUCGGUAUGUAAAGCUCUAUCAGCAGGGAAGAAGAAAAUGACGGUACCUGACUAAGAAGCCCCGGCUAACUACGUGCCAGCAGCCGCGGUAAUACGUAGGGGGCAAGCGUUAUCCGGAUUUACUGGGUGUAAAGGGAGCGUAGACGGUGCAGCAAGUCUGAUGUGAAAGGUCGGGGCUCAACCGCGGGACUGCUUUGGAAACUGUUAAGCUGGAGUGCAGGAGG